This 253-nucleotide ribosomal RNA is filed under the name uncultured bacterium. RNAcentral's name for it is "partial 16S ribosomal RNA". It matches the Rfam family "Bacterial small subunit ribosomal RNA", at positions 524 to 776 of the family's 1533-position model. The record is from RNAcentral.
AACGUAGGACACGAGCGUUAUCCGGAGUUACUGGGCGUAAAGGGCGAGUAGGUGGUGCGAUAAGACUGGUGUGAAAGCCUUCGGCUUAACCGAGGGAGGACACUGGUGACUGUCGGACUUGAGGCAGAUAGAGGGGUGUAGAAUUCCGGGUGUAGUGGUGAAAUGCGUAGAGAUCCGGAGGAACACCGGUGGCGAAGGCGGCGUUCUGGACUGCAACUGACACUGAUAAACGAAAGCCAGGGUAGCAAACGGG